ACUGAACGCUGGCGGCAGGCCUAACACGUGCAAGUCGAGCGGAUGAAGGGAGCUUGCUCCUGGAUUCAGCGGCGGACGGGUGAGUAAUGCCUAGGAAUCUGCCUGGUAGUGGGGGAUAACGUCCGGAAACGGGCGCUAAUACCGCAUACGUCCUGAGGGAGAAAGUGGGGGAUCUUCGGACCUCACGCUAUCAGAUGAGCCUAGGUCGGAUUAGCUAGUUGGUGGGGUAAAGGCCUACCAAGGCGACGAUCCGUAACUGGUCUGAGAGGAUGAUCAGUCACACUGGAACUGAGACACGGUCCAGACUCCUACGGGAGGCAGCAGUGGGGAAUAUUGGACAAUGGGCGAAAGCCUGAUCCAGCCAUGCCGCGUGUGUGAAGAAGGUCUUCGGAUUGUAAAGCACUUUAAGUUGGGAGGAAGGGCAGUAAGUUAAUACCUUGCUGUUUUGACGUUACCAACAGAAUAAGCACCGGCUAACUUCGUG
RNAcentral lists this ribosomal RNA (484 nucleotides) under uncultured bacterium. Its description in RNAcentral is "partial 16S ribosomal RNA". It matches the Rfam family "Bacterial small subunit ribosomal RNA", at positions 30 to 507 of the family's 1533-position model. The record is from RNAcentral.